UCAAGCCUGUAAUCCUAGCACUUCAGGAGGCCGAGGGGCGGAUCACCUGAGGUCAGGAGUUUGAGACCAGCCGGGCCAACAUGGUGAAACUCCGUCUCUACUAAAAAUACAAAAAUUAGCCAGGCGUGGUGGUGGGCACUUGUAAUCCCAGCUACUCUGGAGGCUGAGGCAGGAGAAUCGCUUGAACCCAGGCGGGGCGGAGGUUGCAGUGAGCUGAGAUCGCGUCAUUGCACUCCAGCCUAAGUGACAAGAGCAAGACUCCAUCUCCAAAAAAAAAAAAAAAAAAAAGGUGGUGGGUGGGCUAUGGAUAGUUCUUCCAGGGGCAGGAAGGCACUGGUGGGAGUGAGUGCCUCAGCUGAUCAGGCGUUCUUAUGCGUCAGGGAUGUGUUUUAUGAGGUGCUGCGAGAGUGGGAAGAUCACCAUGAGGAGCCUGGCUGGGAUUUUGAGAAGGGCUUGGGCAGCAGAAUCAGGGCCAUGAUGGGUCAGCUCUC
This 491-nucleotide long non-coding RNA is filed under the name Pan troglodytes (chimpanzee). RNAcentral's name for it is "long non-coding RNA NONPTRT005606". The record is from RNAcentral. Lineage: Eukaryota; Metazoa; Chordata; Mammalia; Primates; Hominidae.